AACGCACCUUGCGCUCCCUGGUAUUCCGGGGAGCACGCCUGUUCGAGUGUCGUGAAUACCUCAAGUCGGAUGCUUUAUUGCUAUCUUAGACUUGGAUUUGGACCUUGCCGCAUGCCUUCGGUGGCGACGGCUGGUCCUAAAUGCAUUAGCUGACCCAUGUUUUGUACACUUGGUUCUACUCGGCGUGAUAAGUUCAUGACCGUCGAGGACAUCCGCGCCCAUAAAGCGAGGGGUGGCCGAGAGUGCCUUGGUUCGCUUCUAAUCGUCUUCACGGACAAGAUUUUUCAACUUUGACCUCGAAUCAGGCGGGACUACCCGCUGAACUUAA
Molecule: ribosomal RNA, 328 nt
Filed under: uncultured Sistotrema
Lineage: Eukaryota; Fungi; Basidiomycota; Agaricomycetes; Corticiales; Corticiaceae
Description: eukaryotic LSU rRNA
Source: RNAcentral